Molecule: ribosomal RNA, 497 nt
Filed under: uncultured bacterium
Lineage: Bacteria
Description: partial 16S ribosomal RNA
Rfam family: Bacterial small subunit ribosomal RNA
Source: RNAcentral
GAUGAACGCUGGCGGCGUGCCUAAUACAUGCAAGUCGAGCGAACAGACGAGGAGCUUGCUCCUCUGACGUUAGUGGCGGACGGGUGAGUAACACGUGGAUAACCUACCUAUAAGACUGGGAUAACUUCGGGAAACCGGAGCUAAUACCGGAUAAUAUAUUGAACCGCAUGGUUCAAUAGUGAAAGACGGUUUUGCUGUCACUUAUAGAUGGAUCCGCGCCGCAUUAGCUAGUUGGUAAGGUAACGGCUUACCAAGGCAGCGAUGCGUAGCCGACCUGAGAGGGUGAUCGGCCACACUGGAACUGAGACACGGUCCAGACUCCUACGGGAGGCAGCAGUAGGGAAUCUUCCGCAAUGGGCGAAAGCCUGACGGAGCAACGCCGCGUGAGUGAUGAAGGUCUUCGGAUCGUAAAACUCUGUUAUUAGGGAAGAACAAAUGUGUAAGUAACUAUGCACGUCUUGACGGUACCUAAUCAGAAAGCCACGGCUAACUACGUG